This is a long non-coding RNA of Panicum virgatum (switchgrass), 818 nucleotides long. RefSeq lists it as uncharacterized. The record is from RefSeq and is a predicted model, not a curated record. Lineage: Eukaryota; Viridiplantae; Streptophyta; Magnoliopsida; Poales; Poaceae. The transcript is spliced from 2 exons.
CUCGCCUACCCGCCCGCCGUCUUUCCUCAGUCCGUGUCGAUCACGCCUCCGGUCCUGCCGGGUACCCACUGCCCGGGAAAAAAUUGAUGGGAUGGUCCCAGCUGUUCAUGAGGAUCCACCUCCCCUCAGAUGGCCGCCACUGAAUCCCCCAUCGUCCGCUGCAGAGUGUCCGCCACGCAGCUGUUCGCCGGAGCCCCCCAACGUCGGCCGCGCAGCUCGUUCGCCGGAGCCCCCGCCACACUGUCCGCCGCCGCAGCUCCGCAGGUCCCCACGCCUCCCACAGCGACGAGUCCAAAGGCAUGGAGAGGCCACACCCACAACCGUUGGCUUUGAAAGUUAAUUUGAUGAAAGGAUUUGCCCUCGGCUUCAUCGAUGGCAGCGCGGGUGUGGAAUUGUGGAUGGUGCGGCGAAUUGAAGUGGAAGCUAGCGGGAAGGCCAUGCGGCGAGUCACGACGCCGGCCGGAGCGCCGCCAGCUUGCACUGCUAUGAGCAGCAGCCCCCUCGCGAGUCCUCGAAAAAUUGCUGCAACUGUUUGGUUGGUGGGAUGGGCAUGGAUGCGAUGGAGCGGCUCCACUUCUAAAGGCACACAUGGAGAAGCUGCAGGCAGAAGCCGACGCAAGGCGGAGCCGCGGACCUGGACACAAGCGGUGGUGCCGACCUAGGCGUCCGGAGCGCUCGGACGAAGGCGUCGAGCUAUGGACCUAAGCAGCUGGAUACUGAGAUGGCAAAAUGUAUGGGAAGAAUGUUAAAUAAACAAUUUGGUAGUGCUCUGUAUUUAAUAUGAACUUUUAAAUACGUGCAAAUUUUAAAGAUCGAGC